RNAcentral lists this ribosomal RNA (336 nucleotides) under Triticum aestivum (bread wheat). RNAcentral's name for it is "partial small subunit ribosomal RNA". Lineage: Eukaryota; Viridiplantae; Streptophyta; Magnoliopsida; Poales; Poaceae. The record is from RNAcentral.
AUGAUCGGUCCCAACCUCAACGUGGCUGACUGGAACGUUCGAGGCCUGAACGACCAAGCUCGCAAAGACACGGUCCACGCCUUUCUGUCAGACACUCCCUGCCAUAUCGCGUGUCUUCAAGAGACCAAACUUGAUUUCAUAGAUCAGCAAACUGCGGCCUACAUUGGUGGUUUUAAGCUCAGAUCUUUCGCUCACAAGCCAGCUGUUGGCACACGAGGUGGUAUUCUUCUUCUCUGGAAUGAAGAUCAAGUCUCUGUUACAAACGUUCACAUUGGCAGCUUUUUGAUCUCCGCCCAGAUCACCAUCCGUGAGUGCAGCACCUCUUUUCUCCUCACC